CAACUUCCACCUGGCUUACCUCCUCAGUUAUGCGUCAAGGCUUGUAUCGCCUAGAGCGUAUUGUUGGUUUUCUGUAUUGGAUACCUAAUCGAAGGUAUUAUUUUGAUCGAUUGGAGUCCCUUUUCGUCUUGUGUUGCAUUYUGUGUSGCAUGAUGAACUUUGAAGCGGUCUCUAUGAUCCAUCACGUUGAUGCACUUGCAUUGAUGUUGUGGCCCAUUGAGCUUUGUUUGGUUUCUUGGAUAUGGAACAUGAAGUGGGCAUGGGGCUGUCAUGAUCCUCUUUUUGCCCUCGUAUGGUGUUCUCGAACGACGGGUCAUGCGCGCCUAGGCUCGUACCUGCGUGAUGAUC
RNAcentral lists this unclassified non-coding RNA (348 nucleotides) under Tephroseris integrifolia subsp. integrifolia. Its description in RNAcentral is "partial external transcribed spacer". The record is from RNAcentral. Lineage: Eukaryota; Viridiplantae; Streptophyta; Magnoliopsida; Asterales; Asteraceae.